UCAUCUUCGGGGGUAGAGCACUGUUUCGGCUAGGGGGUCAUCCCGACUUACCAACCCGAUGCAAACUACGAAUACCGAAGAAUGUUAUCACGGGAGACACACGGCGGGUGCUAACGUCCGUCGUGAAGAGGGAAACAACCCAGACCGCCAGCUAAGGUCCCAAAGUCAUGGUUAAGUGGGAAACGAUGUGGGAAGGCACAGACAGCCAGGAUGUUGGCUUAGAAGCAGCCAUCAUUUAAAGAAAGCGUAAUAGCUCACUGGUCGAGUCGGCCUGCGCGGAAGAUGUAACGGGGCUAAACCAUGCACCGAAGCUGCGGCAGCGACACUAUGUGUUGUUGGGUAGGGGAGCGUUCUGUAAGCCUGCGAAGGUGACCUGUGAGGGUUGCUGGAGGUAUCAGAAGUGCGAAUGCUGACAUAAGUAACGAUAAAGCGGGUGAAAAGCCCGCUCGCCGGAAGACCAAGGGUUCCUGUCCAACGUUAAUCGGGGCAGGGUGAGUCGACCCCUAAGGCGAGGCCGAAAGGCGUAGUCGAUGGGAAACAGGUUAAUAUUCCUGUACUUGGUGUUACUGCGAAGGGGGGACGGAGAAGGCUAUGUUAGCCGGGCGACGGUUGUCCCGGUUUAAGCAUGUAGGCUGGUUAUCCAGGCAAAUCCGGAUAAUCAAGGCUGAGGUGUGAUGACGAGGCACUACGGUGCUGAAGUAACAAAUGCCCUGCUUCCAGGAAAAGCCUCUAAGCAUCAGGUAACAUCAAAUCGUACCCCAAACCGACACAGGUGGUCAGGUAGAGAAUACCAAGGCGCUUGAGAGAACUCGGGUGAAGGAACUAGGCAAAAUGGUGCCGUAACUUCGGGAGAAGGCACGCUGGUGUGUAGGUGAAGUCCCUGCGGAUGGAGCUGAGACCAGUCGAAGAUACCAGCUGGCUGCAACUGUUUAUUAAAAACACAGCACUGUGCAAACACGAAAGUGGACGUAUACGGUGUGACGCCUGCCCGGUGCCGGAAGGUUAAUUGAUGGGGUUAUCCGUAAGGAGAAGCUCUUGAUCGAAGCCCCGGUAAACGGCGGCCGUAACUAUAACGGUCCUAAGGUAGCGAAAUUCCUUGUCGGGUAAGUUCCGACCUGCACGAAUGGCGUAAUGAUGGCCAGGCUGUCUCCACCCGAGACUCAGUGAAAUUGAACUCGCUGUGAAGAUGCAGUGUACCCGCGGCAAGACGGAAAGACCCCGUGAACCUUUACUAUAGCUUGACACUGAACAUUGAGCCUUGAUGUGUAGGAUAGGUGGGAGGCUUUGAAGCGUGGACGCCAGUCUGCGUGGAGCCAACCUUGAAAUACCACCCUUUAAUGUUUGAUGUUCUAACGUUGGCCCCUUACCGGGGUUGCGGACAGUGUCUGGUGGGUAGUUUGACUGGGGCGGUCUCCUCCCAAAGCGUAACGGAGGAGCACGAAGGUUAGCUAAUCCUGGUCGGACAUCAGGAGGUUAGUGCAAUGGCAUAAGCUAGCUUGACUGCGAGCGUGACGGCGCGAGCAGGUGCGAAAGCAGGUCAUAGUGAUCCGGUGGUUCUGAAUGGAAGGGCCAUCGCUCAACGGAUAAAAGGUACUCCGGGGAUAACAGGCUGAUACCGCCCAAGAGUUCAUAUCGACGGCGGUGUUUGGCACCUCGAUGUCGGCUCAUCACAUCCUGGGGCUGAAGUAGGUCCCAAGGGUAUGGCUGUUCGCCAUUUAAAGUGGUACGCGAGCUGGGUUUAGAACGUCGUGAGACAGUUCGGUCCCUAUCUGCCGUGGGCGCUGGAGAAUUGAGGGGGGCUGCUCCUAGUACGAGAGGACCGGAGUGGACGCAUCACUGGUGUUCGGGUUGUCAUGCCAAUGGCACUGCCCGGUAGCUAAAUGCGGAAGAGAUAAGUGCUGAAAGCAUCUAAGCACGAAACUUGCCCCGAGAUGAGUUCUCCCUGAGACUUUAAGUCUCCUGAAGGAACGUU
Molecule: ribosomal RNA, 1972 nt
Filed under: Klebsiella pneumoniae
Lineage: Bacteria; Pseudomonadati; Pseudomonadota; Gammaproteobacteria; Enterobacterales; Enterobacteriaceae
Description: partial 23S ribosomal RNA
Rfam family: Bacterial large subunit ribosomal RNA
Source: RNAcentral